Molecule: long non-coding RNA, 741 nt
Organism: Bactrocera neohumeralis
Lineage: Eukaryota; Metazoa; Arthropoda; Insecta; Diptera; Tephritidae
Exons: 2
Source: RefSeq, a predicted model, not a curated record
AAAGUUUACAUACACCUAGUUCUAUUAAAUUUCGACACGUUUAUUUGUUUCAAAAUGGAUAAAUUUUGUGGUUUUUUUCUAUCCAUUUCAUGAUAUGUAUAUUUAGCAUUAAAUAUAGCAUAUCAAAAUAUUUUUUUUUUUACACAAAUAAAAAAAAAUUAAAUUAAAGCUUAAAAUGAGCAUAAUUUAUAUCAAAAAAGUUUACGUACACUUAUGAUUGUUUAUAUAAAUCAAAAGUAAUUACAAUACUUUUAACGGGGUUUGGCCUACAUUUUGUUGCUAUUAGUGUCCCUAGACAUCGUUGUAUGCUCCCCACUCAAUUUCUAGUAUUAUUUCCGGAUAUUUUGACCCAUUAAGUCCAUGAUCCAGCUUUUUGGCCUUAUUUUGAUGAAAUUCGAUGUUUUCGAAUACGGUUUUCCAAAAAGUUCCAGAUAUUUUGAAUAGGAUUAAUGUCUAGCGAUUGCGGGACCUAUGGAGUUAUUUUUAUUUCCAUAACAACCAUUCACGUACAAGAUAAGUUGUGUGUUUUGGGUCGUUAUCCUGUGGUAAAUAGAAAUGGCUGCUAUUAACAGCCGAUUUAAGCACACUUAAAAUUUAAAUCUUUUUCUUAAAAUGCUCAGAUACAUAUGCUUAUACAUUUUUGAAAUGUACACAAAAAAAUAAAUCCCCAAACAGUAAGGAAUUUGUUGAAGAGUGCUGGUUAUCAUAGACGAGUCGCGCGUCGUCAGCCAUACAUAUAUA